RNAcentral lists this ribosomal RNA (497 nucleotides) under uncultured bacterium. Its description in RNAcentral is "partial 16S ribosomal RNA". It matches the Rfam family "Bacterial small subunit ribosomal RNA", at positions 28 to 507 of the family's 1533-position model. The record is from RNAcentral.
GAGGAACGCUGGCGGCGUGCCUAAUACAUGGAAGGCGAGCGAACAGACGAGAAGGUUGCUGCUCGGACGUUAGCGGCGGACGGGUGAGUAACACGUGGAUAACCUACCUAUAAGACUGGGAUAACUUCGGGAAACCGGAGCUAAUACCGGAUAAUAUAUUGAACCGCAUGGUUCAAUAGUGAAAGACGGUUUUGCUGUCACUUAUAGAUGGAUCCGCGCCGCAUUAGCUAGUUGGUAAGGUAACGGCUUACCAAGGCAACGAUGCGUAGCCGACCUGAGAGGGUGAUCGGCCACACUGGAACUGAGACACGGUCCAGACUCCUACGGGAGGCAGCAGUAGGGAAUCUUCCGCAAUGGGCGAAAGCUUGACGGAGCAACGCCGCGUGAGUGAUGAAGGUCUUCGUAUCGUAAAACUCUGCUAUUAGCGACGAACACAUGUGUAAGUAACUCUCCCCGUCCCUACGCUACCCACUCCCAAACUAACGGUUAACCCUGUC